GGUUGUGGCCCAGAGGUAGAGCACUUGUCUAGCACACUCGAGGCAUUGGGUUCAAUCCUCAGCACCA
Molecule: transfer RNA, 67 nt
Filed under: Marmota monax (woodchuck)
Lineage: Eukaryota; Metazoa; Chordata; Mammalia; Rodentia; Sciuridae
Description: tRNA.Ala
Source: RNAcentral